CUUUGUGUUCUAAAUAGCCUGUGAAGCAACAGAAAAGGAACAACCUCUGCCAAAAGCAGAAGCUGAGGUCUGCAAGGUCGUCACAGCCAGUAGAGCAAAGAAAGCAAAUGGAUUCACAGAGAGGUUGAAGAUACCAAUCCCAGUUCAUCAAAAUAUUGCAGAUUGUGCCAGCACAAUCUUUGACGGGAUAGACCUCCUGGAAAAGAACCUGGAAAAACAGUCUGAAAUGCAAAAAUUCUCAACAUUUUUUCUCAACCUCAAAAAACUAAAAACAUCACUCCAAAAGAACCUGAAAACACAGGCAAGUUGUGAUACAGAAAGUGUGACUGUGAGUAAAUUCAUAAACGAACUGGAACGUUUCAUCAGAACACAUUGCCUAAGAGCAAAACAUUGUGAAUGAUGUUAGAUUCUAUAGUCAACACAAAUUUAAAUGAACAGGGGACAUUCAUAUUUCUUUUAGAGUUAUUCUUUCUGUGUGUGAAGACAUGCAUAUCAUUAUCUCCUCAGGAACGGUACUGAUUUGUGUUUGGAAUAUUACCUUUGCUACCAUCGGGACCAAGAAUGUAAUUUUUGUUUUUAAAUGGAAUUUUAAUGCUGCAGAAACAGAUAAAUGCCAGUGUGGUAUACUACCAUGUCCCCGCUCAGAAUACCUGUUUUAUCUCAUCUAAUGGGUCAAACUCACCUUGGUAUAACUAUGAUUUCAGCAGAGGAUGAAUUUGGACUACCGUGUCUAAAAUAUUUUUGCUUUCCUUGUAUUUUGAAGAGCAUUCGUCAUGAUAGAAACAAUAAUGUAACUGGCGUAAAAGUGACUUAGAGAUGUCCACAAAUGCAGCAUAAAGUCCAUUUGAAUAUUAUAUACACACACAAAUGAAUUAUAUUUAUACAACUUCUUUUGUUAUGAGAACUAUUGCAUGGACUCUCGUGUUAUGUAAACUAAGGUAUAAAGUUUGAGUCAUAUCCAAUGAUUAUGAUAAGAUGUGGUAUAAAUAUACUUCCUUUGCAUUUUAAUCUUGCAAAGAUCAUCUAUUUAUGGGGAUAUGUUUCAUGAAGGGAUCAAAUGUAGGGGACGGUGUGACAGGAUUCAGAACCUUUCAAGUUUAAGGCCAAACCUACAUUAGAAACAGGUGCCUGUAUGGUAGUGGUGGGCAACUUGUGGGAAGCGGCAGCCAGCACGUCCCUACAGCCCACGUUGCUUCCCGCCACUCCCAUUGGCUGAGAAUGGCGAACCACGGCCACUGAGAGCUGUGGGCAGCUGUGCCUGCAGAUGAUCAGUGUCAACAAACUGCCUCGCAGCACACCAGCAGAUUACCCUGACGGGCUUCGUGCGGUCUAUGGGCCGCAGGCUGCCCACCACUGCUGUAUUGCAAUGUCAGUUAGGGGAUGUGAUUUUUUGCAGUAUUUUCAUACCAACAAAAUCCCAAAUGUAGAUGAAGUUAUACCAGCAUAAAAGUGCUUUUUCCGGUAUAACUUUCAGGGAAUUGGCAUAAGCUAUACCGGUUAAAGCACUCUUUUGCUGAUACAUGCUGUGUCUACAUUAGGAGGGUUAUGGCUAUACUGGCAAAAAAAAUUCUACAGUAGAUUUGGCCUUCAUCACUGGUUUGAAAUGAACUGAGGAUAACUAGCAAAAUUCAUUUUCACCUGCUAUUUGUUUGGUGGUCUCUCUAGCCUUGGCUGUAGAGCUUAUUUUGUACAACGAUCAGCAAAGAUUAAAAGAGCACAGCUGUUCACAAUGAUUUAGGUGUUGGUGUAGACAAUCUUGUCAAGAAGAUUUGGCUACAUUAGAUAUUGAAGGUGGUGCAACAGCAUCCAUUGACGAAGAUUAGGUACAGACUGUGUGUUAAAGUACACACGCCACCUUAUAAAACUUACCACCUCUGGACCAACUGUUGGCAGCAAUCUCUGCAGAGAAGCUAGGGACUGAAUGAGCCAUCAGGACUGAACUCUCUCCUCCCCACAGAGGAGAUCUUCCAGGAAAGACAUGGAACACUGAAGCUGGAUGGAGGAAGCUUGCACUCCACUGAUUCUAUGGGGAAAUGGAGAACUUCAAUCUCCUAAGCCUUCAGCUCAACAACUUUCAU
Molecule: long non-coding RNA, 2078 nt
Organism: Mauremys reevesii (Reeves's turtle)
Lineage: Eukaryota; Metazoa; Chordata; Testudines; Geoemydidae
Exons: 4
Source: RefSeq, a predicted model, not a curated record